GCAUCUAAGUAUAAGGUAUAUCCUCGGCCUUCCAAGCCGCAGUGUGUAGGGUUCGAUUCCCUCUAGAUGCUCCA
Molecule: transfer RNA, 74 nt
Filed under: Vibrio phage 172P1
Lineage: Duplodnaviria; Heunggongvirae; Uroviricota; Caudoviricetes; Zobellviridae
Description: tRNA-Gly
Rfam family: tRNA
About the family: Transfer RNA (tRNA) molecules are approximately 80 nucleotides in length. Their secondary structure includes four short double-helical elements and three loops (D, anti-codon, and T loops). Further hydrogen bonds mediate the characteristic L-shaped molecular structure. tRNAs have two regions of fundamental functional importance: the anti-codon, which is responsible for specific mRNA codon recognition, and the 3' end, to which the tRNAs corresponding amino acid is attached (by aminoacyl-tRNA synthetases). tRNAs cope with the degeneracy of the genetic code in two manners: having more than one tRNA (with a specific anti-codon) for a particular amino acid; and 'wobble' base-pairing, i.e. permitting non-standard base-pairing at the 3rd anti-codon position.
Source: RNAcentral